GACGAACGCUGGCGGCGUGCUUAACACAUGCAAGUGGUGCGACGAACCAGGCUUCGGCCUGGGGCAGAGCCGCGAGCGGGUGAGUAACACGUGGGCAACCUGCCCUGUUGAUCGGGACAACCCGGGGAAACCCGGGCUAAUACCGAAUGUGGUGCCGGCCCAUGAGAGCCGGCACGAAAGGAAGCUUCGGCCUCCGCGACAGGACGGGCCCGCGGCCCAUUAGCUUGUUGGUGGGGUAAUGGCCUACCAAGGCAACGAUGGGUAGCUGGUCUGAGAGGACGAUCAGCCACACUGGGACUGAGACACGGCCCAGACUCCUACGGGAGGCUGCAGUGGGGAAUCUUGCGCAAUGAGCGACAGCUUGACGCAGCAACGCCGCGUGGGGGAAGAAGGCUUUCGGGUCGUAAACCCCUUUCAGUUAGGACGAAGCUUUAUUGGUUAAUAACCAAUUGGAGUGACGGUACCUUCAGAAGAAGCCCCGGCUAACUACGUGCCAGCCGCCGCGGUAA
This 509-nucleotide ribosomal RNA is filed under the name uncultured bacterium. RNAcentral's name for it is "partial 16S ribosomal RNA". It matches the Rfam family "Bacterial small subunit ribosomal RNA", at positions 28 to 523 of the family's 1533-position model. The record is from RNAcentral.